Molecule: ribosomal RNA, 408 nt
Filed under: uncultured bacterium
Lineage: Bacteria
Description: partial 16S ribosomal RNA
Rfam family: Bacterial small subunit ribosomal RNA
Source: RNAcentral
GACGAACGCUGGCGGCGUGCUUAACACAUGCAAGUCGAACGAAGUGGCGAACGGGUGAGUAACGCGUAAUUAACCUGCCCUUCAGAGGGGAACAACAGUUGGAAACGACUGCUAAUACCGCAUACGGAAGGAGUGGAUUGCGUCGGAUUAGCCAGUUGGGUGGGUAACUGCCCACCAAGGCGAUGGUCAGUAGCCGGUCUGAGAGGAUGAACGGCCACAAUGGGACUUGGACACGGCCCAGACUCCUACGGGAGGCAUCAGUGGGGAAUCUUCCGGAAUGGAGGAAAGUCUGACGGAGCAACGCCGCGUGGGUGAGGACGGCCUUCGGGUUGUAAAGCUCUGUUAAUCGGGACGCGGUACCCGAAGAGAAAGCCACGGCUAACUACGUGCCAGCCGCCGCGGUAAUUC